RNAcentral lists this ribosomal RNA (253 nucleotides) under uncultured bacterium. RNAcentral describes it as "partial 16S ribosomal RNA". It matches the Rfam family "Bacterial small subunit ribosomal RNA", at positions 524 to 776 of the family's 1533-position model. The record is from RNAcentral.
UACGUAGGGUGCGAGCGUUGUCCGGAUUUAUUGGGCGUAAAGAGCGUGUAGGCGGCCAUACAGGUCCGUUGUGAAAACUCGAGGCUUAACCUCGAGACGUCGAUGGAAACCGUAUGGCUAGAGUCCGGAAGAGGAGAGUGGAAUUCCUGGUGUAGCGGUGAAAUGCGCAGAUAUCAGGAAGAACACCCGUGGCGAAGGCGGCUCUCUGGGACGGUACUGACGCUGAGACGCGAAAGCGUGGGGAGCGAACAGG